This 586-nucleotide long non-coding RNA is filed under the name Olea europaea subsp. europaea. The record is from RNAcentral. Lineage: Eukaryota; Viridiplantae; Streptophyta; Magnoliopsida; Lamiales; Oleaceae.
CCUCUCUUCCCACACUACACAAACAUCACAUACAAAGAAACCUAAAUAUGUUUCGAACAUUUAUUUGUGUUCUUCUUUUGUUGUCUCCAAUAUAUGAAACAAUGGCUAGGCAUCAUCCAAUAUUGCCUAGUGCACCCUCUACUGCAUUGCCAUUAGGGUCUAAGACUCGUGACUUUGUCACUUUAAAGCCAUUGUUGAGUCACAAGCAAAGAGUUUUCCAUAAGAAGGAAGUGAAGAAUUGCAAGCCAAAAGGGUCUGGCCACUCGUCCGCCCCUAGUCGUUAUGUGAAUUAUCACACUCAUGGCUCGAUGAAGUGCUUUUCAGGGUAAGGAUUCUCAGCAAUGUUAGAAAUGCAUUUGGGAUUAAAUAUUAAUGUAACAUGGCCUAGCCAGCUUGUGAGAGAACUAGCUGAUUUUGCGUGUGUGGUGAGAAUACAUCGUUUUUGGCUAGAAACUUAUUCUAGAUAUAAGUGUUCUUGUGGAGCGUACAAGAAAAUGAAGAUUGAUUGUCUAACAAGUUUCACAAUUUUGGUUGUAAUAUCAGCUGCUGUUAUCUGUCUAGAUUGUAUAUUGUCAUGAUGUUGAAG